AAUAAGUUGUUUAAUAUAAAUUGAAUGAGAAUUGUUUUGUUUUUCUUUAAUGCUUUUAUAAUAUUCUGUUUAAUACUUUUUGUAUCUGUUUUUUUAGUCUUCUAAGGUAUUUGUUUAUGCGUCUUAAACUUGAGAGAAAUGUCUUUAAGCUUGAUAAUCUUGUCGUGUGGUUUCGUUUCUUGUAAUUUGGUUUGGACGCUCUUUGAUUUUAUGAUAUUAGUUAAGCAAUUGUCUAUGCUAACUUAAAUACAGUGACGAUAGACAAUAUUGACUGUUUCAGUUUAGAAGGAUACAAACUGCAAAUGCAUUCUGUUAUCUUAUGCUAAAACUGAUCUUAGAUAUUAUAGAUGUGUAUUGAGAUGCUUAUGCAUUGUCAUUGUUGUGCUAAGCUACAGUUUUGAGUCUAUCGUGUAACGUGUUUUGCCAAAUUGUCUGGAGUUUACAUUUCUGUUGUAUUUGUAACCAAAUAUAUAUGGAAUACUUAGGAUUAUUAUUUGGCGGACCAAAUUUAUGUUGAAUUCUGUCAUAGUUGAACCUUUGAUAUUGGCAUAUAACAUUUCAGUGUACAUACUUCAUAGGAAUUUUGGGAAGUAUAGUGUAUGUUUAAGAAAUUAGAAACAUCUUAUGCAUUUUGUAAAUUUGGAUAGAAUUUGGCUAAGAAUAACCAAUUCAAUGGAAGUCAAAAACCUUAGGUCUUAAUGUAUUAUUUUACAGUUGCAAUUUGAAAACAUGUCAAGUAUGGAUUUGCAAGUGAGUCCAUUCUAACUCAUAAUAUUCAUUUAUUUUAAACAACUUUGUUAAGGCAUGCAUAUUGAUUUUAGCUUUAGAAUCCAAUUCUGGUGUUUUUCAAUGAUGAAUUGCUUUCUCGUUAUGCCUUGUUCUACUAUGUUAUUCCAUUUCUGGAUAACACUUAAUCCAGUUUUCAGGUAACUUUCAAGUUUUGGAUUGAUUCUAUUUAUUAAAGUUUACUUUCUUAGAAGGAAUCUAAAAUUUAUGCUUUGGCAUCCUAGCGAGUCAGCUUUUAUGAGAAUGAUGACUCAUUUCAGCAUGUGCUUGUCAGUUGUCUCUAUGUUCUUUGCUUUCCUAUAUCUUGUGCACCGCGUAUGCAUAGGGUCAAUUGUUUAUAUGCAUUUAUUUAUGUAACACACAUAUAUGCUGUAUUAACUUCAACGAUGCUAGUCAUGGACACCAGGUGUCUUAUAUUCUUAAUCAUGUGAAAUAUCCUUGUUAUGGUGGAUUAUAAUCUAAUGGUUUUGGCUACGAGGCUUGAAUGAAUAUAUACUGCUUCCCGAGAAAGGCUGUGGCUUCAACAGUUGCUGGACUUGAAUGGAAAAGCUUUGGGAUUGAUUUCUCUAUGUGGAGUAGCUUGCUCUGGUCCAGUUGAUUCCAUGGCCAAAGAGCUACUAGUGCUAUUUCUCCAAGCCUGUUGCUGUUGCUGUUUAGCUUGUCCUGGUGUGUUCAAUCCUUAAGGGUUCCUACGACACUAAUAAAUGUGAAUCCCCGUUUGGCAUCUUGAGAUUCUUACAGUUUCAUGUCAUUAGACAUAUGGCUCCAAGCUUGAGGUUAAUUCAAUUUAUAUUUUCGUAUGCAUGUGCUCAUAUUGGGGUGUUAUUUCCUGAAUGGCUAAAACUAGUGGUAAAAUUAAUGAAGGCAUUUCACUUUAUUUGGUCAUCUCAUACUUUAUUAUUUAUGGAACAUUUGAUUUAUGACUCAACUUUUAAUUUUCUUCGAGUAUCGUUUUGAACUUUAGCUCAGAGUCAACACUCAACUGGUCCAUUUGAUCAUGCAAGUCUUGCCGGUCAAAUCAUGAGAGAAUGGCUCUUUGAGUAAUUGGCAUGUCGUUGUCUCCAAUCAUUCUCCGUGAAAUUGGUAGGCUGUGCUACUCCUAGUGCCCGUGCAAUACUCUCGAGAAAUUUGUGGCCGCUGCCGUGUUAAGCUCUUGCAAUGGCCAGUGUUCUUUGGCAUGCCACCACGAUAUCUCACCACAUCCAUUACUGGACGAUGCUGAUGAAAAGUAGUAGCUUUAAAGAAAGCAGCAAGUGAACGAACAUGUGUGCAAGAAGAUUUGUAGAUUCCGUGUUGUAAAUGACUGCUUUCCUUUUCAAUGAUACUUUUUGCUUUCUA
Long non-coding RNA from Mercurialis annua (annual mercury), 2124 nucleotides. RefSeq lists it as uncharacterized. The record is from RefSeq and is a predicted model, not a curated record. NCBI's taxonomy places the organism in Eukaryota, Viridiplantae, Streptophyta, Magnoliopsida, Malpighiales, Euphorbiaceae. The transcript has 2 exons.